GAAACGACUGCUAAGACUGGAUAGGAGACAAGAAGGCAUCUUCUUGUUUUUAAAAGACCUAGCAAUAGGUAUGCUUAGGGAGGAGCUUGCGUCACAUUAGUUAGUUGGUGGGGUAAAGGCCUACCAAGACUAUGAUGUGUAGCCGGGCUGAGAGGUUGAACGGCCACAUUGGGACUGAGACACGGCCCAAACUCCUACGGGAGGCAGCAGUAGGGAAUUUUCGGCAAUGGAGGAAACUCUGACCGAGCAACGCCGCGUGAACGAUGAAGUAUUUCGGUACGUAAAGUUCUUUUAUUAGGGAAGAAUAAAUGAUGGAAAAAUCAUUCUGACGGUACCUAAUGAAUAAGCCCCGGCUAACUAUGUGCCAGCAGCCGCGGUAAUACAUAGGGGGCAAGCGUUAUCCGGAAUUAUUGGGCGUAAAGGGUGCGUAGGCGGUUAAAUAAGUUUAUGGUCUAAGUGCAAUGCUCAACAUUGUGAUGCUAUAAAAACUGUUUAGCUAGAGUAAGAUAGAGGCAAGUGGAAUUCCAUGUGUAGUGGUAAAAUGCGUAAAUAUAUGGAGGAACACCAGUAGCGAAGGCGGCUUGCUGGGUCUUUACUGACGCUGAGGCACGAAAGCGUGGGGAGCAAACAGGAUUAGAUACCCUGGUAGUCCACGCCGUAAACGAUGAGUACUAAACGUUGGGUAAAACCAGUGUUGAAGUUAACACAUUAAGUACUCCGCCUGAGUAGUACGUACGCAAGUAUGAAACUUAAAGGAAUUGACGGGACUCCGCACAAGCGGUGGAUCAUGUUGUUUAAUUCGAAGGUACCCGAAAAACCUCACCAGGUCUUGACAUGCUUCUGCAAAGCUGUAGAAACACAGUGGAGGUUAUCAGUUGCACAGGUGGUGCAUGGUUGUCGUCAGCUCGUGUCGUGAGAUGUUGGGUUAAGUCCCGCAACGAGCGCAACCCUUAUUGUUAGUUACCAGCACGUAAUGGUGGGGACUUUAGCAAGACUGCCAGUGAUAAAUUGGAGGAAGGUGGGGACGACGUCAAAUCAUCAUGCCCCUUAUGACCUGGGCUACAAACGUGAUACAAUGGCUGUUACAAAGGGUAGCUGAAGCGCAAGUUUUUGGCGAAUCUCAAAAAAACAGUCUCAGUUCGGAUUGAAGUCUGCAACUCGACUUCAUGAAGUUGGAAUCGCUAGUAAUCGCGAAUCAGCAUGUCGCGGUGAAUACGUUCUCGGGGUUUGUACACACCGCCCGUC
Molecule: ribosomal RNA, 1245 nt
Filed under: Sesame phyllody phytoplasma
Lineage: Bacteria; Bacillati; Mycoplasmatota; Mollicutes; Acholeplasmatales; Acholeplasmataceae
Description: bacterial SSU rRNA
Rfam family: Bacterial small subunit ribosomal RNA
Source: RNAcentral